RNAcentral lists this ribosomal RNA (99 nucleotides) under Blastodinium sp. 5 CAdS-2011. RNAcentral describes it as "partial 18S ribosomal RNA". It matches the Rfam family "Eukaryotic small subunit ribosomal RNA", at positions 1733 to 1831 of the family's 1831-position model. Lineage: Eukaryota; Dinophyceae; Blastodiniales. The record is from RNAcentral.
UCCUGGAUUCUGCAGCGGAAAGUUUAGUGAACCUUAUCACUUAGAGGAAGGAGAAGUCGUAACAAGGUUUCCGUAGGUGAACCUGCGGAAGGAUCAUUC